CUUACCUCUUUUCUCAGGAAAAACUGACGGUACUUGAGGACUAAGCCACGGCUAUUCCGUGCCAGCAGCCGCGGUAAUACGGGAGUGGCANAGCGUUAUCCUGGAAAUUAUAUGGGCGUAAAGCGUCCGCAGGCGGCCUUGAAAGUCUGUCGUUAAAGCGUGGAGCUUAACUCCAUUUAAGCGAUGGAAACUACAAGGCUUGAGUGUGGUAUGGGCAGAGGGAAUUCCCGGUGUAGCGGUGAAAUGCGUAGAUAUCGGGAAGAACACCAGUGGCGAAGGCGCUCUGCUGGGCCAUAACUGACGCUCAUGGACGAAAGCCAGGGGAGCGAAAGGGAUUAGAUACCCCUGUAGUCCUGGCCGUAAACGAUGAACACUAGGUGUCGGGGGAAUCGACCCCCUCGGUGUCGUAGCCAACGCGUAAAGUGU
RNAcentral lists this ribosomal RNA (426 nucleotides) under uncultured bacterium. RNAcentral describes it as "bacterial SSU rRNA". It matches the Rfam family "Bacterial small subunit ribosomal RNA", at positions 426 to 867 of the family's 1533-position model. The record is from RNAcentral.